RNAcentral lists this unclassified non-coding RNA (259 nucleotides) under plant metagenome. RNAcentral describes it as "partial contains small subunit ribosomal RNA and internal transcribed spacer 1". The stretch from base 1 to 46 matches the Rfam family "Eukaryotic small subunit ribosomal RNA", at positions 1786 to 1831 of the family's 1831-position model. The record is from RNAcentral.
AAGUCGUAACAAGGUUUCCGUAGGUGAACCUGCGGAAGGAUCAUUAACCUUUCAAAUCAGGGUGCGUCGCGGCCCCCGAGGAGCGGAAACAAUCCUUGGGAGGUUUGCGGAGUCUUCGGACCCCUUAACGCACGCACGACUGCCAUCCUUACUUUACGAGCACCUUCUGUUCUCCCUCGGCGGGGCAACCUGCCGUUGGAACCGAAUAAACUCUUUUUGCAUCUAGCAUUACCUGUUCCGAAACAAACAAUCGUUACAA